Molecule: ribosomal RNA, 120 nt
Filed under: Varanus niloticus (Nile monitor)
Lineage: Eukaryota; Metazoa; Chordata; Lepidosauria; Squamata; Varanidae
Description: partial 16S ribosomal RNA
Source: RNAcentral
UAUGUACUAUUUUCUUUAGUACGAAAGGACCAAGAAAAUAGGACCAAUGCUCACAGUAAGUCCUCCCCACAAGAAAUCAUAUCAAACCAAUAGUACCCACCCCACCCCAAAAACAGGGCC